RNAcentral lists this ribosomal RNA (445 nucleotides) under uncultured bacterium. RNAcentral's name for it is "partial 16S ribosomal RNA". It matches the Rfam family "Bacterial small subunit ribosomal RNA", at positions 354 to 796 of the family's 1533-position model. The record is from RNAcentral.
GUGGGGAAUAUUGGACAAUGGGCGCAAGCCUGAUCCAGCCAUGCCGCGUGCAGGAAGACGCAUCUAUGGUGUGUAAACUGCUUUUGUACGGGAAGAAACACUCCCUCGUGAGGGAGCUUGACGGUACCGUAAGAAUAAGGAUCGGCUAACUCCGUGCCAGCAGCCGCGGUAAUACGGAGGAUCCAAGCGUUAUCCGGAAUCAUUGGGUUUAAAGGGUCCGUAGGCGGUUUAAUAAGUCAGUGGUGAAAGCCCAUCGCUCAACGAUGGAACGGCCAUUGAUACUGUUAGACUUGAAUUACAAGGAAGUAACUAGAAUAUGUAGUGUAGCGGUGAAAUGCUUAGAUAUUACAUGGAAUACCAAUUGCGAAGGCAGGUGACUACUUGUGGAUUGACGCUGAUGGACGAAAGCGUGGGGAGCGAACAGGAUUAGAUACCCCGGUAGUCC